UGACGGUUAACGGGGGAUUAGGGUUCGAUUCCGGAGAGGGAGCCUGAGAAACGGCUACCACAUCUAAGGAAGGCAGCAGGCGCGCAAAUUACCCAAUUCUAACAGCAUAAGAGAGGUAGUGACAAGAAAUAACAAUACAAGGCAGUUAAAAUGCUUUGUAAUUGGAAUGAUAGAAAUUUAAACACUUUUUAAAGUAUCAAUUGGAGGGCAAGUCUGGUGCCAGCAGCCGCGGUAAUUCCAGCUCCAAUAGCGUAUAUUAAAAUUGUUGCAGUUAAAAAGCUCGUAGUUGAAUUUCUGCUAAAAAAAACCGGUCUGCUUUUAAUAAAAGUGGUAUCUUGGUGUGUUUUUAGCAAUAAUGUCUUUUGGAAUGUUUUAUUACUUUAUUGUAAUAAAUCAUAUUCAGGGUUUUUACUUUGAGAAAAUUAGAGUGUUUCUAGCUAGGCUAACGCUUUGAAUACUGCAGCAUAGAAUAAUAAAAUAGGGAUUUUAGUUCUACAUUAUUGGUUUUA
RNAcentral lists this ribosomal RNA (509 nucleotides) under Hepatozoon sp. KCMS-2016a. RNAcentral's name for it is "bacterial SSU rRNA". It matches the Rfam family "Eukaryotic small subunit ribosomal RNA", at positions 353 to 852 of the family's 1831-position model. The record is from RNAcentral. Lineage: Eukaryota; Apicomplexa; Hepatozoidae.